Molecule: ribosomal RNA, 253 nt
Filed under: uncultured bacterium
Lineage: Bacteria
Description: partial 16S ribosomal RNA
Rfam family: Bacterial small subunit ribosomal RNA
Source: RNAcentral
UACGAAGGGUGCAAGCGUUACUCGGAAUUACUGGGCGUAAAGCGUGCGUAGGUUGUUCGUUAAGUCUGAUGUGAAAGCCCUGGGCUCAACCUGGGAAUGGCAUUGGAUACUGGCGACCUAGAGUGCGGUAGAGGGUGGCGGAAUUCCCGGUGUAGCAGUGAAAUGUGUAGAGAUCGGGAGGAACACCGGUGGCGAAGGCGGGUCUCUGGGCAAUUCCUGACGCUGAGGCGCGAAAGCGUGGGGAGCAAACAGG